This 468-nucleotide ribosomal RNA is filed under the name uncultured bacterium. Its description in RNAcentral is "partial 16S ribosomal RNA". It matches the Rfam family "Bacterial small subunit ribosomal RNA", at positions 28 to 507 of the family's 1533-position model. The record is from RNAcentral.
GACGAACGCUGGCGGCGUGCUUAACGCAUGCAAGUCGAACGGAAAGGCCCUGCUUUUGUGGGGUGCUCGAGUGGCGAACGGGUGAGUAACACGUGAGUAACCUGCCCUUGACUUUGGGAUAACUUCAGGAAACUGGGGCUAAUACCGGAUAGGAGCUCCUGCUGCAUGGUGGGGGUUGGAAAGUUUCGGCGGUUGGGGAUGGACUCGCGGCUUAUCAGCUUGUUGGUGGGGUAGUGGCUUACCAAGGCUUUGACGGGUAGCCGGCCUGAGAGGGUGACCGGCCACAUUGGGACUGAGAUACGGCCCAGACUCCUACGGGAGGCAGCAGUGGGGAAUAUUGCACAAUGGGCGGAAGCCUGAUGCAGCAACGCCGCGUGCGGGAUGACGGCCUUCGGGUUGUAAACCGCUUUCGCCUGUGACGAAGCGUGAGUGACGGUAAUGGAUAAAGAAGCACCGGCUAACUACGUG